Molecule: ribosomal RNA, 460 nt
Filed under: uncultured bacterium
Lineage: Bacteria
Description: partial 16S ribosomal RNA
Rfam family: Bacterial small subunit ribosomal RNA
Source: RNAcentral
CCUACGGGAUGCAGCAGUGAGGAAUAUUGGUCAAUGGGCGCGAGCCUGAACCAGCCAAGUAGCGUGAAGGAUGACUGCCCUACGGGUUGUAAACUUCUUUUAUAAAGGAAUAAAGUGAGGCACGUGUGCCUCUUUGUAUGUACCUUAUGAAUAAGCAUCGGCUAACUCCGUGCCAUCAGCCGCGGUAAUACGGAGGAUCCGAGCGUUAUCCGGAUUUAUUGGGUUUAAAGGGAGCGGAGAUGGGUGGUGAAAUCAGUUGUGAAAGUUUGCGGCUCAACCGUAACAUUGCAGUUGAUACUGGCAGCAUUGAGUACAUUUGAAGUAGGCGGAAUUCGUGGUGUAGCGGUGAAAUGCAUAGAUAUCACGAAGAACUCCGAUUGCGAAGGCAGCUUACUAAACUGCAACUGACAUUGAUGCUCGAAAGUGUGGGUAUCAAACAGGAUUAGAUACCCGAGUAGUC